This is a long non-coding RNA of Aotus nancymaae (Ma's night monkey), 900 nucleotides long. Lineage: Eukaryota; Metazoa; Chordata; Mammalia; Primates; Aotidae. The record is from Ensembl.
CGCACCACUUGCCUAGCAUCCCUCUCCCCACCUUCGAAGCUUCCAACUGCACCGGGACCCCGGGCAGCAGCAGCAGCUGCUGCUACUGCUGCUUCGUCCAUUCAGUGUCCCCCGAUUCCCCUCUCCCCACCUACCAACUGCGGGUGAAGUGCGCGCUGUCAGCUCCAGAGUCCUCCGCCCCUCUGACCUCCGUGGGCCCCCGUCCGGGCAGCACCACUCCCGGCCGCGGCGACAGUUCCUGCGCCCCGUUCCCCACUCGCCCCGAUUUACUGCCACAAUCCACCAAAUAACAAGCUGUUGAGCCGACUCGCUUCUACACGAACUCCUAUUGGCUGCUCAUGACGCCGAAGAGCUUCGUAUAGGACCUCGCUACCUGCCGUCCUCAUUGGAUGUAGCUCUGAAACUUCAUGGAUUGGUGCGAAAAACAGCAGGUAGGACAUCUUCCACUUAUGAUUGGUUUUUUCUGAAGACCAACGUUAUUGGAGAGUUGGUUAUUGAGUAAGCAAGUCCUGAGAAUUGAUUGGUAGACACGACUCCGGAUGUGCUUGACUGGGCACUGAUUGGUGAAUUGAGGGGGUCAGGAAGAGCAGUUCGGCACGAGGAUUGGCGGCGGAGUGUCCCAUGGAAACGGAACCCAGAAUUGCAGCCAGGGGCUUACACGGGGGCGGGGCAGUGUCUUUCCUAGGCGCCUGCGCCAAACCAGCUUCCCGGCGCCAUUUUGUCUCGGCAGCGGUGGCUGCAGGUCCAUCGCAUUUUAGGUUUCUGGCGAGAAGGAAACGGAGUUUUCAUCUGGUAGAUUCGUUUUUCUGCGGCAGCCAUCCACCGUUUCCUCCAGGACAGCACCUAGUCUUGGACAGAGGAGUCUCAGAACUGUCAAAAGUCUUUUGUCUUUUAGAGUAA